This 60-nucleotide transfer RNA is filed under the name Ictidomys tridecemlineatus (thirteen-lined ground squirrel). RNAcentral's name for it is "Spermophilus tridecemlineatus (thirteen-lined ground squirrel) tRNA". It matches the Rfam family "tRNA", at positions 6 to 65 of the family's 71-position model. From Rfam's summary of the family: Transfer RNA (tRNA) molecules are approximately 80 nucleotides in length. Their secondary structure includes four short double-helical elements and three loops (D, anti-codon, and T loops). Further hydrogen bonds mediate the characteristic L-shaped molecular structure. tRNAs have two regions of fundamental functional importance: the anti-codon, which is responsible for specific mRNA codon recognition, and the 3' end, to which the tRNAs corresponding amino acid is attached (by aminoacyl-tRNA synthetases). tRNAs cope with the degeneracy of the genetic code in two manners: having more than one tRNA (with a specific anti-codon) for a particular amino acid; and 'wobble' base-pairing, i.e. permitting non-standard base-pairing at the 3rd anti-codon position. The record is from Rfam by way of RNAcentral. RNAcentral also lists the same sequence under 1 other name. Lineage: Eukaryota; Metazoa; Chordata; Mammalia; Rodentia; Sciuridae.
UGUGGCUCAGUGGUAGAGCACUUGCCUUGCAUGCAUGGACACUGGGUUCCAUCCUCAGCA